Molecule: ribosomal RNA, 479 nt
Filed under: uncultured bacterium
Lineage: Bacteria
Description: partial 16S ribosomal RNA
Rfam family: Bacterial small subunit ribosomal RNA
Source: RNAcentral
GACGAACGCUGGCGGCGUGCUUAACACAUGCAAGUCGAGCGAUGAAGCACCUUCGGGUGUGAAUUAGCGGCGAACGGGUGAGGAACACGUGAGAAAUCUGCCUUCAACACUGGGAUAACUCCGGGAAACCGGGGCUAAUACCGGAUAUGAAACCUGCGGGCAUCCGCGGGUUUGGAAAGUUUUUCGGUUGAAGAUGAUCUCGCGGCCUAUCAGCUUGUUGGUGAGGUAAUGGCUCACCAAGGUGACGACGGGUAGCCGGCCUGAGAGGGCGACCGGCCACACUGGGACUGAGACACGGCCCAGACUCCUACGGGAGGCAGCAGUGGGGAAUAUUGGGCAAUGGAGGAAACUCUGACCCAGCGACGCCGCGUGCGGGAUGAAGGCCUUCGGGUUGUAAACCGCUUUCAGCAGGGAAGAAGCGAAAGUGACGGUACCUGCAGAAGAAGCACCGGCUAACUACGUGCCAGCCGCCGCAGUAA